GGGCCGUUAGCGCAGUUGGUAGCGCGCCUCUAUGGCAUAGAGGAGGUCGCCGGUUCAAAUCCGGCACGGUCCACCA
Molecule: transfer RNA, 76 nt
Filed under: bacterium (Candidatus Gribaldobacteria) CG_4_10_14_0_8_um_filter_33_9
Lineage: Bacteria; Candidatus Gribaldobacteria
Description: tRNA-Ala
Rfam family: tRNA
About the family: Transfer RNA (tRNA) molecules are approximately 80 nucleotides in length. Their secondary structure includes four short double-helical elements and three loops (D, anti-codon, and T loops).
Source: RNAcentral